CGGGUGAGUAACGCGUGGGUAACCUGCCUCAUACAGGGGGAUAACAGUUGGAAACGACUGCUAAUACCGCAUAAGCGCACAGGAUUGCAUGAUCCAGUGUGAAAAACUCCGGCGGUAUGAGAUGGACCCGCGUCUGAUUAGCCAGUUGGCGGGGUAACGGCCCACCAAAGCAACGAUCAGUAGCCGACCUGAGAGGGUGACCGGCCACAUUGGGACUGAGACACGGCCCAA
RNAcentral lists this ribosomal RNA (231 nucleotides) under uncultured bacterium. RNAcentral's name for it is "partial 16S ribosomal RNA". It matches the Rfam family "Bacterial small subunit ribosomal RNA", at positions 103 to 334 of the family's 1533-position model. The record is from RNAcentral.